RNA transcript from Dreissena polymorpha, 5783 nucleotides. RefSeq lists it as uncharacterized. The transcript is spliced from 9 exons. Lineage: Eukaryota; Metazoa; Mollusca; Bivalvia; Myida; Dreissenidae. The record is from RefSeq and is a predicted model, not a curated record.
AAAGGCAUUUUACAAUAAGGUAGUCAUAUUACAAUGAACAGUGUAAACAUGAAUUUUGUUUAUUUAUAUAUCUUUGGUGUAAACUUGCAGUGUGAGAACUUUACGUUAGUGACUAGUGAGUAAGUUUAGGUGAUGUCAUCUAAGUACGCAUUAAAAAUUACCCUCCUUUGUUCAAUUUUUAAAUUUAGCUGUAUUGCGCAAAAAGCAAAGGAUAUGUGUAUGGAUUACGAAGGAUAUUAAUGCCUGUUCUGCCUAUGGUCAUGAGCUCACUGUGGUGUCUAAUAGCAUUCCUGAGUAAAAGUUUUAUCAUGACCAGUGCCAUUUUGGUUCGCCAACAUGAAGCUCAAAUAGUUGCUACAUUUGAAUGUUCUUCUCACACUGACAUAACCAUCAACUUUAUUGACCUUUCGAACACACCACGAAUCAUAGCAGAUUGCGACGCGCAAGUUGGUUCAUGUCAUGUAUAUGACUCGAUUCUUGCAAAGUACUAUGCAGUGACAUACACGGACGAGGGAGCUUUCGUGUACAUAAAGAACUCAACGUACACAUUGGGAAAAUAUACAUGUUGUGAAACGUAUAAUAAAACAAAUUGUGACAGCACGGAUCUUGUAUCCUUUGCUGCAAAUGAUCCGAACAGAAGUUCUGUCCAUCGGCAACAAGCAGUCGGAAAUGGUUGAAACCGAUCAUCGUGGUAGGAGCGAUUGCAAGCAAUGUCAAUCUGUCGAUGAACCUCUAAGGAUGAUGAAAGGAAUCAUAAUAAGUUCAUUUAUUUCAAUACUUAUUUUAAUCCUUAUUUUAAUCGGCAUAUUCUUCAGACGACAGUUAUUAAAAGGUAAUGUACAGCGAAUCAUACGCACCAAGUCUCCGAAGUCAAUUGUGAACAUUGUGAACAUUAAUACAGAAUACACGGAUGAUACUGAGGGAGUGCCGAUGAUCACAGUGGAUAACACAUUUGCACAUGAAGACACUCUAUCCAUGAAAGAUGCACCAAAAGAGGUGGCACUGGUGACUGGGUUUACACCCUUAGGGGAAAAUAAUGGAACCUUGGACAGCGGAGAAAGUGGAUUCGGCAGUAAUGUUCAAGCAUGGUUUUACAGAAAUUGAUGAGAAACCGGCCUCUUUGGAUUUCAAGAAAGAAACCGUAUAGUGAUGCCUUUGGUAACUCGAUAUUAUCAAAGUAAGUCUCGUUAUGUUUAAACAACCAUAACGACGGUAUUUCCCACAAAUAUAUAGACACAUUUCAAAAGAACCAUAUAUAUUUAUUAAGCACUUAUAUAUGUAUAUAUAACGAACAAUCGUUUGGUGUAAAUUUGCAGGUAAUUCAACCAGCUUCGCUACAAAAUAGUUUUAUCUUUAUAAACAUGUUAACCGGAUUGGGCUCGCCUCUUUUUGGAUCUGAUCUCGACAUUUUUCAGGUUUGACCGCUUUGAAAAAGAUCAGUUUUAACCUCUGUCGGGUGUAACUCAAAACUUUAUGCUUAAGGGAGUGACGAUUACAAACAUUUUAUCUAGCAUUUGUAAUUGCACCCCUUCAUAUUUUGGUUUCGGAUGAUUAAGACUUUAACAAUAGUUAUGGUCUAUUUAAGCAAAAAAUGAAAAUCUCUGGCCGCGCAUGACUUAAAAAAGUUGCUGCUAAAACUUGAAAAACAUGGUUCACAUCAUCUGAUAUUCCAUUAAUUCACAUAUGUAUUUAUGUUUAAAUAAGCCGGAAGAGUUUUUUUCCCUUUUUAAAACAAAAUGCCAUUUUUGAAUUGAAUUCAAACGAAUUACUGCAUAAAAAAACAUUUUCAAACAUAGUAAUCUACAUGUCUAACUUGUGCAUCAUUUCAUAAGUUUCGUAGUUUUUUUUUACAAAACCAGAGGUUGUGUCCUAUUAAAUAACACCGGAAUUUUGUUUCCUAUUUAAGUAAAACGAAGAUAUAUUGUUACUCAUACAUGUAUUUUAAGAUUUUUGUUCGGUUAACCAACGCAAAAACAGUAACUUAAGUAGGCACUGUGAAAGGCAAUGAACACAACUCGUUGUGAACGCAAACCAACACAAAUGUAUUAUGUUUACUUAAUCUGUUUCAUAAUAUUACAUACUUCUAUGUAAUCAUAAUCAGAAUAUGAUUCAUUUUGUUUUGCCCAGGGUCCAAUUGAAAUGUUACUGAACGCUUUCGCAAAAAAUUUGAUAUACAAAACGUCAUAUAAAGUCAUAACUGACAGACCAAAAGAAGUGAGAAUAGUUUUUGCACACUAUAUUUGUUUCCACUUUUGAGAGAGAUUGUUUGUAGAUUUUAUAUAUGUGUUUUGAAGCCAAAUUUCUAAAAAACGAUAUUUUAAUUUACUGUUUAAAUAUUUAAUUAAAACUCUGUUCAGGUUCCUUAUAAUAGCAUGUCCAUUGGUAAAACUAUUUAAUGAAGCAUGUAUGCUGCUUAGCAGUACACGUUAAUAGUAUCCUAAUUUUCUGUCUGAACAUAUAUAAAAACGCGUGAUACAUGUGUUCAAAUUAUGGUAAUAUUAAUGGUAAUCGAUUACAUUAUAUGAAUUAUAUCAGGAUUGGUCGAUUGGAAUUAUUUAAGAUUAAAAUUUGACUCAUCGCUCAAUUCAUUAUUUGACAAUCUGCAUCUGUGGCCAGUCUUUAAAACACUCGGUUUUAUAUUCCAUAGGAACCAAAACAGUUAAUCCGCAGAAAUCCCAUAGUUAAACAAAGCUGAAACCACACUCAAACGUCAUGCCAAACUCGCUGCAGGCAAACGUUUUGUGGGACUUCACGAAGAAACCAUCUGUCCUAAACAAUCAUGGCUCACUUCAUGUAGGCGUUUAUAUUUUCUCUGAGACAAUUAAGACACAUCAUCCUGUCAAUCAGUCUUCAACUAUCAGGCCGUACCCGAUGUAGGCGUUUAUUUUGUUGGAAUCAAUGCAGCGAUAAUUUUCUGUUCGCCACGUUUCUUUAUUAAUUGCUGAAGGCAUUUAGGAUGUUAUAAUUGACGAAGAACCACCUUGUAGUUUGACUUGAACCCAAAACAGUUUGAAAACAUAUAACCCAGUACCCACGGCCAUUCGCAGCACACGUGUCUUAAAAUGUAACAAUAUAUAUCGUACAAUGGUCAUCAAAAAAUGUGUGAAACUGAAAUUCCGCAACGGCAAGUAUCCUUUUCCUUGUAGAUAUUAAUAUUUAAGAUAAAGUUAGCGAUAAAAUGCUUCUUUGGGAUACAUUAUUGAUCGUGUUUUUAUAUAAUGUUUCCACUUCUGUCAAGAUUUUUUUGUUGUUCAAAAUAGCCUUUCCCAUGAUUUUUUUUCUUAUCCAACACGACGUUAUUGUUUUUUUCAAUGAAAUUAUAUUCCAAUGGUGUUUUUUUCUGUAUUAAAAAAUGGUUGUUUUAUAUCUUAGAAAAUUUAGCGAAAGUUUUAACAUAAAUCCUUUUGCAAUUCUUAAAAUCCAUAACCUAGCAUAAAACACGUUGCUUUUCUUUUCCCACGAUCCCACGCAACGCUUUAAAAAAUAAACGAAAAACGAAACAUACCACUGGCAUACGAAAUAUCCCAUGGACAAGUGCAAUAAUCUAAUGGGAGGUAAACUUUGCUCAUAUAGUUCAAAGUGAAAAAAACAACAAUUGUUUAGCAAUAAUAAUAAUUAUUAAUUACAAGUAAGACUUUUAUCGCGAACUUCAUCUCACAUAGGAAACUCUUAAUGAAAAAGGAUACUUAAGUUUGCAUAAUUCCGGUUUCGUAAAGUUUGUUUGAUGGCCGAUAAGUUUACACAUAUGUUUGUGUUACAAAGCAGGGAAGAAAUCAUCGAGUUUCGACGAUUAUGAAAAUGAUGUGUAUUGGACAUGUAUAAUAAAUGGAUGAUUGCGCAAAAGAAACCAGAUAAAUGUACGGGCGGCGAAAUUACACGCAAUUACUUAAUAGGAAACAAAAACAGUUGGUGUAGUGUGUUUUAAAAUUCCACCACGUUUCAAAAUGUUAUCGAUGCAUCCGACUUAAAAAUACAUAAUUUAUAAUAGUAUUUGAAAAAUUGCGUGUUUAGCGGUUGAAAGACCCUUUUCUACUUUACAAAAUAGUCCUUAUGUUCUUGUAUUUUUAAUUUUGACGUGCGCAAUAACUGCACAUUCAUUCAAUUUACUAUACGUAAGUUUAACUUAUGAAAAUAGAUUAAGGUAAUACUUAGGCAAAGCGCGGGAUUGUUUAUUCAUAUAUAAAUUUAUGUGAAUGUUUAGGGAAUAGGAAAUUUCUUAGUAAAAAGUGAUCCGAAAGCACGGAAAUGUUUAUUCAUAUCUUCAUGUGAUUGUUAAGGUCAUAAGAAAUAACUUUGUAAACAGUGAUCCGAAAGCACGAAUUAAUUGUUUAUUCAUAUAUUUAAGUGAUUUGUUAGGUCAAGAGAAAUAACUUUGUAAACAGUGUUCCGAAAGCACGGAAUGGUUUAUUCAUAUAUUUGUAUGAUUGUUUAAGUCAUGAGAAAUAACUUUGUAAACAGUAAUCCAAAAGCACGAACUUGUUUUUUUCAUAUAUUCGUGUUGGAAUGUUAAGGUCAUUAUUAAUAUUUUUGUAAACAGUAAUCCGAAUUCACGAAAUUAUUUAUUCAUUUAGUCGUGUGUGAUUGUAAAAGUCAUGAGAAAUAACUUUGUAAACAGUAAUCCAAAAGCCAGGAAUUGUGUAUGUAUAUAUGUGUGUGUGUGUGUGUGAGUGUGAUUGUUAAGGUCAUAAGAAAAUACUUUGAAAAUAGUCAUCCGAAAGCACGGAAUCGUUUAUUCAUAUAGUUGUGGUAUUGUUAAGGUCAUGAGAUAUAACUUUGUAUACGGUGAUCCGAGAGCACGGAAUUGUGUAUUCGUAUAUGUGUGUAAAGGUUAAGGUCUUGAGAAAUAACUUUCUAAACAGUGAUCCGAAAGACGGUUUUUUUAUUUAUAUAUUUGUGUGAUUGUUAAGGUCAUGAGAAACUACUUUGUAUACGGUGAUCCGAAACUACAAAAUUGUUUAUUCAUAUAUUUGUGUGUGAUUGUUAAGGUCAUGGGCAAUAACUUUGUAUACGGUGAUCUAAGCACUGAAUUGUGUAUUAAUAUACAUGUAUUCGUGUAAUUGUUUAGGUCAUAAGAAAUAACUCUUUAAAUAGUGAUCCGAAAGCACGGAAUUGUUUAUUCAUAUAUUUGUAUGUAAUUGUGAAGGUCAUGAGAAAUAACUAUGUAAACAGUGAUCCGAAAGCACGAAAUUGUUUGUUCAUAUAGUUGUGUGUGAUUGUAAAGGUCAUUAAAAAUAAAUUUGUAAAUAGUGAUCCGAAAGAACGGAAUCGUUUAUUCAUAUAGUUGUGUGAUUGUUAAGGUUAUAAUAAAUAAUUCUGUAAACAGUGAUACGAAAGCAUGGAAUUGUGUCUUCAUAUAUUUGCGUGUGAUUGUGAAGAUUAUGAGAAAUACGAUUGUAAACAGUGAUUCGAAAGCACGAAAUUGUUAUUCAUAUAGUUGUGUCUUUGCUAUGGUCAUGAUAAUUAACUUUGUAAACAUUGAUCCGAAAGCACGAAAUUGUUUGUUCAUAUAGUUGUGUGUGAUUGUAAAGGUCAUCAGAAAUAACUUGUAAACGGUGAUCGGAAAGCACGGAUUCGUUUAUUCAUAUAGUUGUGUGAUUGUUAAGGUUAUGAUUUAUAACUUUGUAAACAGUGUAGGAAGGCACGUAAUUGUUUAUUCAUAUAUUUGUGUUUGAUUGUUAAGAUCAUAAGAAAUAACUUUGUAAACAGUGAUUCGAAAGCACGAAAUUGUUUAUUUAUAGAGUUGUGUGAUUGCUAUAUAGAGACAAUAUAUAUAAAGGAACCUG